RNAcentral lists this ribosomal RNA (388 nucleotides) under uncultured bacterium. RNAcentral describes it as "bacterial SSU rRNA". It matches the Rfam family "Bacterial small subunit ribosomal RNA", at positions 28 to 417 of the family's 1533-position model. The record is from RNAcentral.
GACGAACGCUGGCGGCGUGCUUAACACAUGCAAGUCGAGCGGUAAGGCCCUUUCGGGGGUACACGAGCGGCGAACGGGUGAGUAACACGUGGGUGACCUGCCUUUAGCUCUGGGAUAAGCCUGGGAAACUGGGCCUAAUACCGGAUAUGACCCUAUGGCGCAUGUUGUGGGGUGGAAAGCCUUGUGCGGCUAGGGAUGGGCCCGCGGCCUAUCAGCUUGUUGGUGGGGUGAUGGCCUACCAAGGCGACGAUGGGUAGCCGGCCUGAGAGGGCGACCGGCCACACUGGGACUGAGACACGGCCCAGACUCCUACGGGAGGCAGCAGUGGGGAAUCUUGCGCAAUGGGCGAAAGCCUGACGCAGCGACGCCGCGUGAGGGAUGACGGCCU